CUCAAGGUAGUAGAAUCAAAAUACGUCAGAGUUAAGAUUUGAAGAUAGCUGGCAAGUUUCUUGAGA
RNAcentral lists this transfer RNA (66 nucleotides) under Scrobicularia plana. RNAcentral describes it as "tRNA-Leu". The record is from RNAcentral. Lineage: Eukaryota; Metazoa; Mollusca; Bivalvia; Cardiida; Scrobiculariidae.